This 408-nucleotide ribosomal RNA is filed under the name Fusobacteriota bacterium. Its description in RNAcentral is "Fusobacteria bacterium partial 16S ribosomal RNA". It matches the Rfam family "Bacterial small subunit ribosomal RNA", at positions 355 to 776 of the family's 1533-position model. Lineage: Bacteria; Fusobacteriati; Fusobacteriota. The record is from RNAcentral.
UGGGGAAUAUUGCACAAUGGACGGAAGUCUGAUGCAGCAACGCCGCGUGCGGGAUGACGGCCUUCGGGUUGUAAACCGCUUUUUCUCAUGACGAAGUUUUUUGACGGUAGUGGGGGAAGAAGCACCGGCUAACUACGUGCCAGCAGCCGCGGUGAUACGUAGGGUGCGAGCGUUGUCCGGAAUUAUUGGGCGUAAAGAGCUUGUAGGCGGUUUGUCGCGUCGAUAGUGCAAACUCAGUGCUUAACGCUGAGCCUGCUGUUGAUACGGGCAGACUAGAGGAAGGUAGGGGAGAAUGGAAUUCCCGGUGGAGCGGUGGAAUGCGCAGGUAUCGGGAGGAACACCGGUGGCGAAGGCGGUUCUCUGGGCCUUUCCUGACGCUGAGAAGCGAAAGCGUGGGGAGCGAACAGG